GUGCUGUGAGCUCGAUGAGUAGGGCGGGACACGUGGUAUCCUGUCUGAAUAUGGGGGGACCAUCCUCCAAGGCUAAAUACUCCUGACUGACCGAUAGUGAACCAGUACCGUGAGGGAAAGGCGAAAAGAACCCCGGCGAGGGGAGUGAAAAAGAACCUGAAACCGUGUACGUACAAGCAGUGGGAGCCCCACCACUAAGCCAGUGGUGAACUCCACAUACGCAUCCUUUGCUGAGGAUACGGUUAACGGAGCGAAAGCGACGUUCAACCUCAAAAGAAGCAGAGGGGGCUUAGUGGUGGGGUGACUGCGUACCUUUUGUAUAAUGGGUCAGCGACUUAUAUUCUGUAGCAAGGUUAACCGUAUAGGGGAGCCGCAGGGAAACCGAGUCUUAACCGGGCGUUAAGUUGCAGGGUAUAGACCCGAAACCCGGUGAUCUAGCCAUGGGCAGGUUGAAGGUUGGGUAACACUAACUGGAGGACCGAACCGACUAAUGUUGAAAAAUUAGCGGAUGACCUGUGGCUGGGGGUGAAAGGCCAAUCAAACCGGGAGAUAGCUGGUUCUCCCCGAAAGCUAUUUAGGUAGCGCCUCGUGAACUCAUCUCCGGGGGUAGAGCACUGUUUCGGCUAGGGGGCCAUCCCGGCUUACCAACCCGAUGCAAACUGCGAAUACCGGAGAAUGUUAUCACGGGAGACACACGGCGGGUGCUAACGUCCGUCGUGAAGAGGGAAACAACCCAGACCGCCAGCUAAGGUCCCAAAGUCAUGGUUAAGUGGGAAACGAUGUGGGAAGGCCCAGACAGCCAGGAUGUUGGCUUAGAAGCAGCCAUCAUUUAAAGAAAGCGUAAUAGCUCACUGGUCGAGUCGGCCUGCGCGGAAGAUGUAACGGGGCUAAACCAUGCACCGAAGCUGCGGCAGCGACGCUUAUGCGUUGUUGGGUAGGGGAGCGUUCUGUAAGCCUG
Molecule: ribosomal RNA, 958 nt
Filed under: Salmonella enterica subsp. enterica serovar Poona
Lineage: Bacteria; Pseudomonadati; Pseudomonadota; Gammaproteobacteria; Enterobacterales; Enterobacteriaceae
Description: partial 23S ribosomal RNA
Rfam family: Bacterial large subunit ribosomal RNA
Source: RNAcentral